RNAcentral lists this ribosomal RNA (923 nucleotides) under uncultured archaeon. RNAcentral describes it as "bacterial SSU rRNA". It matches the Rfam family "Archaeal small subunit ribosomal RNA", at positions 1 to 903 of the family's 1478-position model. The record is from RNAcentral.
UUUCCGGUUGAUCCUGCCGGACCCGACCGCUAUCGGGGUGAGGCUAAGCCAUGCGAGUCUGCGCUCUCAGCCAUGAGAGAGCGCGGCGCACGGCUCAGUAACAUGUGGUUAACCUACCCUCAGGACGGGGAUACCCUCGGGAAACUGAGGCCAAUCCCAGAUAGAUGAGGGAUCCUGGAAUGGUUCCUCAUCGAAAAGGCACGCAUAUCAUGCUAUGCGUGUCGCCUGAGGAUGGGACCGCAUCCUAUCAGGUAGUUGGUGGGGUAACGGCCCACCAAGCCUAUAACGGGUACGGGCCCUGAGAGGGGGAGCCCGGAGAUGGGUACUGAGACAAGGACCCAGGCCCUACGGGGCGCAGCAGGCGCGAAACCUCCGCAAUGCGCGAAAGCGCGACGGGGCCACCCCGAGUGCCAUCCGCUGAGGGUGGCUUUUCCCUAGUGUAGUAAGCUAGGGGAAUAAGCGGGGGGCAAGUCUGGUGUCAGCCGCCGCGGUAAUACCAGCUCCGCGAGUGGUCGGGACGAUUAUUGGGCCUAAAGCGUCCGUAGCCGGCCUAACAAGUCUCUGGUUAAAUCUCAAGGCUUAACCUUGAGAUCGCUGGAGAUACUGUUAGGCUAGGGGGCGGGAGAGGUUGAGGGUACUUCGCGGGUAGGGGCGAAAUCCUAUAAUCCGCGAAGGACCACCAGUGGCGAAGGCGCUCAACUGGAACGCGCCCGACGGUGAGGGACGAAAGCUAGGGGAGCAAAGGGGAUUAGAUACCCCCAUAGUCCUAGCUGUAAACGAUGCGGGCUAGGUGUUGGGUUGGCUUCGUGCCAAUCCAGUGCCGCAGCGAAGGCGAUAAGCCCGCCGCCUGGGAAGUACGGCCCCAAGGCUGAAACUUAAAGGAAUUGGCGGGGGAGCACCACAAGGGGUGAAGCCUGCGGUUU